GGCUACGUAGCUCAGUUGGUUAGAGCACAUCACGGUCACAGGUUCGAAUCCCGUCGUAGCCACCA
RNAcentral lists this transfer RNA (65 nucleotides) under Escherichia coli. RNAcentral describes it as "tRNA-OTHER". It matches the Rfam family "tRNA". Rfam says of the family: Transfer RNA (tRNA) molecules are approximately 80 nucleotides in length. Their secondary structure includes four short double-helical elements and three loops (D, anti-codon, and T loops). Lineage: Bacteria; Pseudomonadati; Pseudomonadota; Gammaproteobacteria; Enterobacterales; Enterobacteriaceae. The record is from RNAcentral.